This 429-nucleotide ribosomal RNA is filed under the name uncultured bacterium. RNAcentral's name for it is "bacterial SSU rRNA". It matches the Rfam family "Bacterial small subunit ribosomal RNA", at positions 30 to 506 of the family's 1533-position model. The record is from RNAcentral.
UUGAACGCUGGCGGCAUGCCUUACACAUGCAAGUCGAACGCCCCGCAAGGGGAGUGGCAGACGGGUGAGUAACGCGUGGGAAUCUACCGUACCCUACGGAAUAACGCAUGGAAACGUGUGCUAAUACCGUAUACGCCCUUUGGGGGAAAGAUUUAUCGGGGUAUGAUGAGCCCGCGUUGGAUUAGCUAGUUGGUGGGGUAAAGGCCUACCAAGGCGACGAUCCAUAGCUGGUCUGAGAGGAUGAUCAGCCACAUUGGGACUGAGACACGGCCCAAACUCCUACGGGAGGCAGCAGUGGGGAAUAUUGGACAAUGGGCGCAAGCCUGAUCCAGCCAUGCCGCGUGAGUGAUGAAGGCCCUAGGGUUGUAAAGCUCUUUCACCGGUGAAGAUAAUGACGGUAACCGGAGAAGAAGCCCCGGCUAACUUCGU